This 452-nucleotide ribosomal RNA is filed under the name uncultured bacterium. Its description in RNAcentral is "bacterial SSU rRNA". It matches the Rfam family "Bacterial small subunit ribosomal RNA", at positions 365 to 807 of the family's 1533-position model. The record is from RNAcentral.
UUCGCAAUGCCCGAAAGGGUGACGAAGCGACGCCGCGUGUGGGAAGAAGGCCUUCGGGUUGUAAACCACUGUCGGGAGUUAAGAAAUACAAGGAUAUUAAUAGUGUCUUUGUUUGACUAAGGCUCCGGAGGAAGCCACGGCUAACUCUGUGCCAGCAGCCGCGGUAAUACAGAGGCGGCAAGCGUUGUUCGGAAUUAUUGGGCGUAAAGAGCACGUAGGCGGCCUUGUAAGUCAGUUGUGAAAGCCUUCUGCUUAACGGAAGAACAGCAGCUGAUACUGCAAGGCUAGAGUGCGGAAGGGGAGAGUGGAACUUCUGGUGGAGCGGUGAAAUGCGUAGAUAUCAGAAGGAACACCGGCGGCGAAGGCGACUCUCUGGUCCGUAACUGACGCUGAGUGUGCGAAAGCUAGGGGAGCAAACGGGAUUAGAUACCCCGGUAGUCCUAGCCGUAAAC